RNAcentral lists this ribosomal RNA (1341 nucleotides) under metagenome. RNAcentral's name for it is "bacterial LSU rRNA". It matches the Rfam family "Bacterial large subunit ribosomal RNA", at positions 1561 to 2925 of the family's 2925-position model. The record is from RNAcentral.
CCCUAAGGGAGAUCUGGAAAGGCAAAUCCGCCAGAUCGUCUGCCAGGAAAAUCCUCUAAGGAGAGUUAGGUAACUGUACCACAAACGGACACACGUGGACGAGAUGAGUAUUCUCAGGCGCUCGGGUGAUGAGUUGUUCAGGAACUAGGCAAAUUAACCCCGUAACUUCGGGAGAAGGGGUGCCCACGCAAGUGGGCCGCAGUGAAUAGCGUCAGGCGACUGUUUAACAAAAACACAGGUCUCUGCUAAGUCGAAAACGACGUAUAGGGGCUGACGCCUGCCCGGUGCCGGAAGGUCAAAGGGAGCGGUUAGCGCAAGCGAAGCUGUAAACUGAAGCCCCGGUGAACGGCGGCCGUAACUAUAACGGUCCUAAGGUAGCGAAAUUCCUUGUCGGGUAAGUUCCGACCUGCACGAAUGGCGUAACGAUCUGACGACUGUCUUAACAACUCGCCCGGCGAAUUUGUGGCUCCGGUGAAGACGCCGGAUGCCCGCCACAAGACGGAAAGACCCCGUGCACCUUUACUAUACCCUAUCAGUGAAUUAUGGGUUGAACUGCGCAGGAUAGGUGGGAGGCUUUGAGAUCGGUUUUUUGGAAUCGAUGGAGCCAAUGGUGAGAUACCACCCUGUUCAAUCUGUGAUUCUAACCUACUUCCAUGAUCUGGAAGAGGGACACUGGUAGGCGGGUAGUUUGACUGGGGCGGUCGCCUCCUAAAUUGUAACGGAGGCGCUCGAAGCUGCGUUCAGGUGGUUUGGAAAUCCACCGUCGAGUGCAAAGGCAUAAACGCGGUUAACUGCGAGACCUACAAGUCAAGCAGGUGGGAAACCAGGACUUAGUGAUCCGGUGAUUCUGUAUGGAAGGGUCAUCGCUCAACGGAUAAAAGGUACGCCGGGGGUAACAGGCUGAUCGGAGUCAAGAGUUCACAUCGACGCUCCGGUUUGGCACCUCGAUGUCGGUUCAUCGCAUCCCGGGGGUGUAGAAGCUCCCAAGGGUUAGGCUGUUCGCCUAUUAAAGCGGUACGUGAACUGGGUUCAGAACGUCGCGAGACAGUUCGGUCCCUAUCUGUGGUGGGCGCAGGAAAAUUGAGGGGCUUGGCCUUAGUACGAGAGGACCGGGCUGAACGAACCUCUUGUGAUACAGUUGUCACUCCAGUGGCACAGCUGUGUAGCGAAGUUCGGUUAGGAUAAGCGCUGAAUGCAUAUAAGUGCGAAACCUUCCCCAAGAUGAGUUUUCCCAACCGUAAGGUAAUAAGGGCCGUGGAAGACUACCACGUUGAUAGGACGGGUGUGUAAGAGUAGUAAUACUUUGAGCUAACCGUUACUAAUAGCCCGUUCGGCUUGACC